Molecule: ribosomal RNA, 1442 nt
Filed under: metagenome
Description: bacterial SSU rRNA
Rfam family: Bacterial small subunit ribosomal RNA
Source: RNAcentral
AGAGUUUUAUCCUGGCUCAGGAUGAACGCUGGCGGCGUGCUUAACACAUGCAAGUCGAACGAACCUUCGGGUUAGUGGCGGACGGGUGAGUAACGCGUGGGAACCUGCCCUCAGGAGGGGGAUAACGGCUGGAAACGGCCGCUAAUACCCCAUAUGCCGAGAGGUGAAAUGAAUUUCGCCUGAGGAUGGGCCCGCGUCUGAUUAGCUAGUUGGUGGGGUAAAAGCCUACCAAGGCGACGAUCAGUAGCUGGUCUGAGAGGAUGAUCAGCCACACUGGGACUGAGACACGGCCCAGACUCCUACGGGAGGCAGCAGUGGGGAAUUUUCCGCAAUGGGCGAAAGCCUGACGGAGCAACGCCGCGUGAGGGAUGAAGGCCUCUGGGCUGUAAACCUCUUUUCUCAGGGAAGAAGACCUGACGGUACUUGAGGAAUAAGCCACGGCUAAUUCCGUGCCAGCAGCCGCGGUAAUACGGGAGUGGCAAGCGUUAUCCGGAAUUAUUGGGCGUAAAGCGUCCGCAGGUGGCCCUGUAAGUCUGUCGUUAAAGCGUGGAGCUUAACUCCAUUUAAGCGAUGGAAACUACAGGGCUAGAGUGUGGUAGGGGCAGAGGGAAUUCCCGGUGUAGCGGUGAAAUGCGUAGAUAUCGGGAAGAACACCAGUGGCGAAGGCGCUCUGCUGGGCCAUCACUGACACUCAUGGACGAAAGCCAGGGGAGCGAAAGGGAUUAGAUACCCCUGUAGUCCUGGCCGUAAACGAUGAACACUAGGUGUCGGGGGAAUCGACCCCCUCGGUGUCGUAGCCAACGCGUUAAGUGUUCCGCCUGUGAGUACGCACGCAAGUGUGAAACUCAAAGGAAUUGACGGGGGCCCGCACAAGCGGUGGAGUAUGUGGUUUAAUUCGAUGCAACGCGAAGAACCUUACCAGGGUUUGACAUCCUGCGAAUCCCUUGGAAACGAGGGAGUGCCUUCGGGAGCGCAGAGACAGGUGGUGCAUGGCUGUCGUCAGCUCGUGUCGUGAGAUGUUGGGUUAAGUCCCGCAACGAGCGCAACCCACGUCGUUAGUUGCCAGCAUUCAGUUGGGCACUCUAGCGAGACCGCCGGUGAUAAACCGGAGGAAGGUGUGGAUGACGUCAAGUCAUCAUGCCCCUUACAUCCUGGGCUACACACGUACUACAAUGCUACGGACAAAGGGCAGCAAACUCGCGAGAGCUAGCAAAUCCCAUAAACCGUGGCUCAGUUCAGAUCGUAGGCUGCAACUCGCCUACGUGAAGGAGGAAUCGCUAGUAAUCGCAGGUCAGCAUACUGCGGUGAAUACGUUCCCGGGCCUUGUACACACCGCCCGUCACACCAUGGAAGUUGGCCACGCCCGAAGUCGUUACUCCAACCCUUGUGGAGGAGGACGCCGAAGGUGGGGCUGAUGACUGGGGUGAAGUCGUAACAAGGUA